AGCAGCCGCGGUAAUUCCAGCUCCAAUAGCGUAUAUUAAAGUUGUUGCAGUUAAAAAGCUCGUAGUUGAAUUUCGGGAUCAAUAUUUCGGUCAUGCCGUUGGUAUGCACUGUUAUCAUUGAUUUCUCACCUUCUAAAGAACCGUAAUGCCAUUAAUUUGGUGUUACGGGGAAUUAGGACUGUUACCUUGAAAAAAUUAGAGUGUUUAAAGCAGGCUCACGCUUGAAUACAUUAGCAUGGAAUAAUGAAAUAGGACAUCCGAUUCUAUUUUGUUGGUUUCUAGGAUCGACGUAAUGAUUAAUAGGGAUAGUUGGGGGCAUUAGUAUUCAAUUGUCAGAGGUGAAAUUCUUGGAUUUAUUGAAGACUAACUACUGCGAAAGCAUUUGCCAAGGAUGUUUUCAUUAAUCAAGAACGAAAGUUAGGGGAUCGAAGACGAUCAGAUACCGUCGUAGUCUUAACCAUAAACUAUGCCGACUAGGGAUCGGAUGAUGU
RNAcentral lists this ribosomal RNA (491 nucleotides) under uncultured Glomeromycotina. Its description in RNAcentral is "SSU rRNA". It matches the Rfam family "Eukaryotic small subunit ribosomal RNA", at positions 569 to 1063 of the family's 1831-position model. The record is from RNAcentral. Lineage: Eukaryota; Fungi; Glomeromycota.